RNAcentral lists this small nuclear RNA (84 nucleotides) under Zalophus californianus (California sea lion). The record is from RNAcentral. RNAcentral also lists the same sequence under 2 other names. Lineage: Eukaryota; Metazoa; Chordata; Mammalia; Carnivora; Otariidae.
UUGCUUCAGCAGCACAUACAGUACACUGGAACAAUACAGAGAUCAGCAUGGCCCCUAUGCAAGGAUGAAGUGUUGCAUAUUUUU